RNAcentral lists this microRNA precursor (76 nucleotides) under Myotis lucifugus (little brown bat). RNAcentral's name for it is "mir-9229 microRNA precursor family". It matches the Rfam family "mir-9229 microRNA precursor family". The record is from Rfam by way of RNAcentral. Lineage: Eukaryota; Metazoa; Chordata; Mammalia; Chiroptera; Vespertilionidae.
GAGACACCCCUGUGGAGCAGUACUUGCUUCAGUGGGGCUUUGGUGCUCACUGAGACUUCCCCUUGAGUGCGUCACU